UACGGAGGGUGCAAGCGUUAUCCGGAAUCACUGGGUUUAAAGGGUGCGUAGGCGGAUAAAUAAGUCAGAGGUGAAAGCUUUCCGCUUAACGGGAAAAUUGCCUUUGAAACUGUUUAUCUUGAAUUAUGUUGAGGUUAGCGGAAUGUGACAUGUAGCGGUGAAAUGCAUAGAUAUGUCAUAGAACACCAAUUGCGAAGGCAGCUAGCUAGGCAUAUAUUGACGCUGAGGCACGAAAGCGUGGGGAGCGAACAGG
Molecule: ribosomal RNA, 253 nt
Filed under: uncultured bacterium
Lineage: Bacteria
Description: partial 16S ribosomal RNA
Rfam family: Bacterial small subunit ribosomal RNA
Source: RNAcentral